GGGAGUUUGGCCGAGUGGUUAAGGCGUCGUGUUUAGGUAGCGCCGGGUUCUCCCGGCAUACUUCAAAUCCCGCGAUGGGCAACCGCGCAGGUUCGAAUCCUGCAGCUCUCA
Non-coding RNA from Xylariaceae sp. FL0594, 111 nucleotides. The record is from the annotation of a GenBank genome assembly. Lineage: Eukaryota; Fungi; Ascomycota; Sordariomycetes; Xylariales; Xylariaceae.